UUUAGAACACUCCUGUCAAUGUCGUGAAACAAUUGCCACCUUUACAUCAUAUUAACUAGAUGGAGAAGUACACACCUCCCUUCCGUGUGACGGUCCUGCUGUCUCUACUUCUUCUCGGAUGCAUUGCUACUACUAUACAAUGUGAAAUAAUCAUGGAUGGCGUGGACAAGAUCAACUUACCAAUCGGGUUGUGCGCCUAUAUAAAAGAGCGUGACCUCUAUUGUUGCCUUGUGAAUUCUUUGUGCUAUUGGACAGUCGAUGUAUGCAUAAGAGAAUGCAAAAAUACUGCACACGUAGUGGCGAUGACAAACACUCCUUUAGCUACCCUUCCUCCACUCCCAUCAAACUGAAUUUUUGUUUGAAGAAAUAAUAUGUAAUGUGGAAGACAAAUCUAUUUCCCGAUUAAUAAAGGGAGGUGGUAUUCUUGGUUU
Long non-coding RNA from Triticum dicoccoides, 431 nucleotides. RefSeq lists it as uncharacterized. NCBI's taxonomy places the organism in Eukaryota, Viridiplantae, Streptophyta, Magnoliopsida, Poales, Poaceae. The transcript is spliced from 2 exons. The record is from RefSeq and is a predicted model, not a curated record.